Molecule: long non-coding RNA, 396 nt
Filed under: Lathyrus oleraceus (garden pea)
Lineage: Eukaryota; Viridiplantae; Streptophyta; Magnoliopsida; Fabales; Fabaceae
Description: Pisum sativum (pea) long non-coding RNA (PSAT_LNC016915)
Source: RNAcentral
UCAAUCAAUAGAGGCUAGAUCGGACUAAUGAGAGAGACGGUUGAGUACGGAAGCUAAAGCGGAGAUAUAGGCUAGCUAAAUGCCAUGUGAUAAUAUUGACAUGAGUUAGGAUAAAUCCGAAUGACUAGUGGCCAUAACUGAUUAAGCAAUCUUAACCUUUUUCGAUUAGCCUUUCCUCUUUCUACCGUUAUGAGAUGCAGUAUCCUCUAACGUCUUUGCUUGGAAUUCCGGUGUUAAGCCCGCGGCUGAAGCAGAGAACCGCACAUCUUCCCUCGAGCAAGGAGAGGGUCUCGGAGCACAUAGAGGAGCAUUCCAUUUAUAAGGACUUUCUGAGGGAUCGCUUUCAGCUGGAUCGAGCUCUCAUGCUGAUCGGAGGAAUGCCAAUCUCUCUUUCUU